GACGAACGCUGGCGGCGUGCUUAACACAUGCAAGUCGAACGAAAAGAGGGAAAGAGCUUGCUCUUUCCGGAAUUGAGUGGCAAACGGGUGAGUAACACGUAAACAACCUGCCUUCAGGAUGGGGACAACAGACGGAAACGACUGCUAAUACCGAAUAAGUUCCAAGAGCCGCAUGGCCCAUGGAAGAAAAGGUGGCCUCUACCUGUAAGCUAUCGCCUGAAGAGGGGUUUGCGUCUGAUUAGCUGGUUGGAGGGGUAACGGCCCACCAAGGCGACGAUCAGUAGCCGGGCUGAGAGGAUGAACGGCCAAACUGGAACUGAGACACGGUCCCGACCCCUAAGGGAGGCAGCAGUGGGGAAUCUUCCGAAAGGGGCGACAGCCUGACGGAGCAAAGCCGCGUGAGUGAUGAAGGCCUUCGGGUUGUAAAACUCUGUGAUCCGGGACGAAAAGGCAGCGUGCGAAGAACAAACUGCAUUGACGGUACCGGAAAAGCAAGCCACGGCUAACUACGUG
RNAcentral lists this ribosomal RNA (513 nucleotides) under uncultured bacterium. RNAcentral describes it as "partial 16S ribosomal RNA". It matches the Rfam family "Bacterial small subunit ribosomal RNA", at positions 28 to 507 of the family's 1533-position model. The record is from RNAcentral.